GAGUAACGCGUGGGUAACCUGCCUCACACAGGGGGAUAACAGUUGGAAACGGCUGCUAAUACCGCAUAAGCGCACAGUACCGCAUGGUACAGUGUGAAAAACUCCGGUGGUGUGAGAUGGACCCGCGUCUGAUUAGCUAGUUGGCAGGGCAACGGCCUACCAAGGCGACGAUCAGUAGCCGACCUGAGAGGGUGACCGGCCACAUUGGGACUGAGACACGGCCCAAACUCCUACGGGAGGCAGCAGUGGGGAAUAUUGCACAAUGGGGGGAACCCUGAUGCAGCGACGCCGCGUGAGCGAAGAAGUAUUUCGGUAUGUAAAGCUCUAUCAGCAGGGAAGAAGAAAUGACGGUACCUGACUAAGAAGCACCGGCUAAAUACGUGCCAGCAGCCGCGGUAAUACGUAUGGUGCAAGCGUUAUCCGGAUUUACUGGGUGUAAAGGGAGCGCAGGCGGAAGGCUAAGUCUGAUGUGAAAGCCCGGGGCUCAACCCCGGUACUGCAUUGGAAACUGGUCAUCUAGAGUGUCGGAGGGGUAAGUGGAAUUCCUAGUGUAGCGGUGAAAUGCGUAGAUAUUAGGAGGAACACCAGUGGCGAAGGCGGCUUACUGGACGAUAACUGACGCUG
Molecule: ribosomal RNA, 624 nt
Filed under: uncultured bacterium
Lineage: Bacteria
Description: bacterial SSU rRNA
Rfam family: Bacterial small subunit ribosomal RNA
Source: RNAcentral